RNAcentral lists this ribosomal RNA (246 nucleotides) under uncultured bacterium. RNAcentral's name for it is "partial 16S ribosomal RNA". It matches the Rfam family "Bacterial small subunit ribosomal RNA", at positions 524 to 769 of the family's 1533-position model. The record is from RNAcentral.
UACGUAGGGUGCAAGCGUUAUCCGGAAUUAUUGGGCGUAAAGAGCUCGUAGGCGGUUUGUCGCGUCUGCUGUGAAAACUGGAGGCUCAACCUCCAGCCUGCAGUGGGUACGGGCAAACUAGAGUGCGGUAGGGGAGAUUGGAAUUCCUGGUGUAGCGGUGAAAUGCGCAGAUAUCAGGAGGAACACCGGUGGCGAAGGCGGGUCUCUGGGCCGUAACUGACGCUGAGGAGCGAAAGCGUGGGGAGC